GAUGAAGAACGCAGCAAAAUGCGAUAAGUAAUGUGAAUUGCGGAAUUCAGUGAAUCAUCGAAUCUUUGAACGCACAUUGCGCCCGCCAGUAUUCUGGCGGGCAUGCCUGUUCGAGCGUCAUUUCAACCCUCAAGCCCUCGGGUUUGGUGUUGGGGAUCGGCGAGCCUUUCUGGCAAGCCGGCCCCGAAAUCUAGUGGCGGUCUCGCUGCAGCCUCCAUUGCGUAGUAGUAAAACCCUCGCAACUGGAACGCGGCGCGGCCAAGCCGUUAAACCCCCAACUUCUGAAUGUUGACCUCGGAUCAGGUAGGAAUACCCGCUGAACUUAAGCAUAUCAAUAAGCGGAGGA
This 346-nucleotide unclassified non-coding RNA is filed under the name soil metagenome. RNAcentral describes it as "partial contains 5.8S ribosomal RNA, internal transcribed spacer 2, and large subunit ribosomal RNA". The stretch from base 1 to 120 matches the Rfam family "5.8S ribosomal RNA", at positions 35 to 154 of the family's 154-position model. The record is from RNAcentral.